UGGGAUAUAGCCAAGUUGGUAAGGCAUCAGAUUCUGAAUCUGAUAUGCAUUGGUUCGAGUCCAAUUAUCCCAGCCA
RNAcentral lists this transfer RNA (76 nucleotides) under Bacilli bacterium. RNAcentral describes it as "tRNA-Gln". It matches the Rfam family "tRNA". From Rfam's summary of the family: Transfer RNA (tRNA) molecules are approximately 80 nucleotides in length. Their secondary structure includes four short double-helical elements and three loops (D, anti-codon, and T loops). Further hydrogen bonds mediate the characteristic L-shaped molecular structure. tRNAs have two regions of fundamental functional importance: the anti-codon, which is responsible for specific mRNA codon recognition, and the 3' end, to which the tRNAs corresponding amino acid is attached (by aminoacyl-tRNA synthetases). tRNAs cope with the degeneracy of the genetic code in two manners: having more than one tRNA (with a specific anti-codon) for a particular amino acid; and 'wobble' base-pairing, i.e. permitting non-standard base-pairing at the 3rd anti-codon position. Lineage: Bacteria; Bacillati; Bacillota; Bacilli. The record is from RNAcentral.